This 330-nucleotide ribosomal RNA is filed under the name uncultured bacterium. RNAcentral's name for it is "bacterial SSU rRNA". It matches the Rfam family "Bacterial small subunit ribosomal RNA", at positions 568 to 898 of the family's 1533-position model. The record is from RNAcentral.
CGCGUAGGUGGUAGUGCAAGUCUGGGGUGGAAUCUUAGGGCUUAACCCUAAAACUGCCUUGGAAACUGCAUUACUUGAGUCAGUGAGGGGAGGGUAGAAUUCCUGGUGUAGCGGUGAAAUGCGUAGAUAUCAGGAGGAAGGCCUGUGGCGAAGGCGGCCCUCUGGCGCUGAACUGACACUGAGGAGCGAAAGCGUGGGUAGCAAACAGGAUUAGAUACCCUGGUAGUCCACGCCCUAAACGGUGGGUACUAGGUGUAGGGCUCGUAAGGGUUCUGUGCCGAAGGGAAACCAUUAAGUACCCCGCCUGGGGAGUACGGCCGCAAGGUUGAA